AUAGCUUGACACUGAACAUUGAGCCUUGAUGUGUAGGAUAGGUGGGAGGCUUUGAAGUGUGGACGCCAGUCUGCAUGGAGCCGACCUUGAAAUACCACCCUUUAAUGUUUGAUGUUCUAACGUGGACCCGUAAUCCGGGUUGCGGACAGUGUCUGGUGGGUAGUUUGACUGGGGCGGUCUCCUCCUAAAGAGUAACGGAGGAGCACGAAGGUUGGCUAAUCCUGGUCGGACAUCAGGAGGUUAGUGCAAUGGCAUAAGCCAGCUUGACUGCGAGCGUGACGGCGCGAGCAGGUGCGAAAGCAGGUCAUAGUGAUCCGGUGGUUCUGAAUGGAAGGGCCAUCGCUCAACGGAUAAAAGGUACUCCGGGGAUAACAGGCUGAUACCGCCCAAGAGUUCAUAUCGACGGCGGUGUUUGGCACCUCGAUGUCGGCUCAUCACAUCCUGGGGCUGAAGUAGGUCCCAAGGGUAUGGCUGUUCGCCAUUUAAAGUGGUACGCGAGCUGGGUUUAGAACGUCGUGAGACAGUUCGGUCCCUA
This 535-nucleotide ribosomal RNA is filed under the name Escherichia coli. Its description in RNAcentral is "partial 23S ribosomal RNA". It matches the Rfam family "Bacterial large subunit ribosomal RNA", at positions 2106 to 2640 of the family's 2925-position model. The record is from RNAcentral. Lineage: Bacteria; Pseudomonadati; Pseudomonadota; Gammaproteobacteria; Enterobacterales; Enterobacteriaceae.